UGCGGAUGUGGCGGAAUUGGUAGACGCGCUAGAUUUAGGUUCUAGUGUCUUUGAUGUGUGGGUUCGAGUCCCUCCAUCCGCAU
This 83-nucleotide transfer RNA is filed under the name Microcystis aeruginosa. Its description in RNAcentral is "tRNA-Leu". It matches the Rfam family "tRNA". Rfam says of the family: Transfer RNA (tRNA) molecules are approximately 80 nucleotides in length. Their secondary structure includes four short double-helical elements and three loops (D, anti-codon, and T loops). RNAcentral also lists the same sequence under 6 other names. Lineage: Bacteria; Bacillati; Cyanobacteriota; Cyanophyceae; Chroococcales; Microcystaceae. The record is from RNAcentral.